ACUUCUUGCGCCCAGCCUUGUCCCUGCAAUUCGGCAGCAGCAGCAGCAGCAGCAGCAGCAGCAGCAGCAGCAGCAGCAGUAGUUCUUCUGCUCCUGCAUCGUCUUCACACAAAAUGACCAUGGCGCCCUCAGAAGAAAAGCCGGC
RNAcentral lists this non-coding RNA (145 nucleotides) under Aurantiochytrium limacinum. The record is from RNAcentral. Lineage: Eukaryota; Bigyra; Thraustochytrida; Thraustochytriidae.